RNAcentral lists this ribosomal RNA (209 nucleotides) under uncultured bacterium. Its description in RNAcentral is "partial 16S ribosomal RNA". It matches the Rfam family "Bacterial small subunit ribosomal RNA", at positions 1291 to 1500 of the family's 1533-position model. The record is from RNAcentral.
GUUCGGAUUGAAGGCUGAAAUUCGCCUUCAUGAAGCUGGAAUUGCUAGUAAUGGCAGGUCAGCAUACUGCCGUGAAUACGUUCCCGGGCCUUGUACACACCGCCCGUCACACCAUGAGAGUUGGGAAUACCCGAAGCCUGUGAGCUAACUUAUAGAGGCAGCAGUCGAAGGUAGAAUCAAUGAUUGGGGUGAAGUCGUAACAAGGUAAC